RNAcentral lists this unclassified non-coding RNA (90 nucleotides) under Pseudomonas granadensis. Lineage: Bacteria; Pseudomonadati; Pseudomonadota; Gammaproteobacteria; Pseudomonadales; Pseudomonadaceae. The record is from RNAcentral.
UGUAGGAGUGAGCCUGCUCGCGAUAGCGGUGUGUCAGGCAACACAAAUGCAGACUGACAGGCCCCCAUCGCGAGCAGGCUCACUCCUACA